Molecule: long non-coding RNA, 2859 nt
Filed under: Capra hircus (goat)
Lineage: Eukaryota; Metazoa; Chordata; Mammalia; Artiodactyla; Bovidae
Description: lncRNA (ENSCHIG00010005734.1)
Source: RNAcentral
CUCAGGGCCUCCACCAGAGAGGAACAAAAGGGCCUCUUGACCUCUUGGGAAUGGGAAGUGUUCACAGCUGAAUUCUCCUGGCAGACACUUUUCAGCAUCACCAGCUGCUCACUCCCCAGAGGCCCUGUCUCUGCUUAGCUCCAUGAUGGGUAUAAGCACAUUUGGCCAUAAACCCACCUAGCUGUGGGAUUGCAGCUACCACCUCACAGGGAGCUCACUCUGAGAAAGUCUUGAGCUGGACAGCUGGACAUACUGAGAGUCUCUUGGUCUGGCCCUUCCAUGUAUCAGUCCCUCACCAUGCCUCUCUGCAUCCUCACGCUUCAGGCUACAGCCAGACUGAGAAGUUUCCUGAAGAUGCCUUGUGAUUUCUCUUUUCUCCAUGGUUUCUUCUGCCUGGAGUAGUCUCCACCUGCCCAUUCCCCUGUCUUUGCCCAGUGAACUCAUCCUCACUCUUCUGCUUGGUUCAGGUUUCUCCUUUCCUCUGAGCCAGAGGCCUUCCCUGUGGACCUCCUAACUCCUGUGGCACCUCCAAUGUCAUGCUGUUCACAAGGUGUCAUUGUCUAUUAAUUUUCUCAAAAUGCCUGUGGGCUCCCUGAUGGCAGGGACCUGGUCCAAUUUAUGUUGGAGUCCAAGUACCUGGAUCAUGACAGGUGCUCAGGUCUGUGCUGGCUGGCUGACUGUGUGGGUACAUUGUGCUAGAACCUUUCCUGUUGCUCAGAGUCAAACCUUGGUGUGCAUGAGGUGUGCAGGUGAGGGUUACAGCAUAUAAGAAGAUACACCUGACCCUCAGGCUCACAGGAUAAAUAAAACACACUGUCAUUUAAGGGAAGCUGAGAAAAUGCAUCUAUGGGUUGGCGAGAGACCUGGGCUUCAGUACUAACCCUGCUUCACGUUGACUCUGAGCAAUCUCCUCACCUGUCCAAGCUUGUUUCCUGAGCUCUAAAAUUGGAACCACAACCCCUGCUUAGCCUGCCUAACAGAGUUAUUGUGAGGAUCAGGUGCAACAAUGUCCCUGAAAUUACAGAAAACUGUGAGUUGGUGUGUUAGUACUUUGAGGGCGAGUUCAAUGCUGCGAUGUGACAGUGCCCACUAGAGGGUGUGGCAGAGCAGGUCAGGCCCUCCUUGAUUGAGCCCUGUGGACGGGAAGUGCCACCUCUGUGCAAGAACUUGGGCUGGUCCAGAAAAGGGGGAUUCAGGGUUUAAAAUAUAUCAUGCCCAGGCUCCCUUCUGCUCAUGUUUCUAUAUAUUCAAAUGACGUCUCUGAAGUGCUAAUAGUAGUAGUGUUAGUUGCUGAGUUGUGUCUGACUCUUUGCGACCCCACGGACUGUAGCCCACCAGGCUCCNNNNNNNNNNNNNNCCAGGCAAGAAUACUGGAGUGAGUAGCCAUUCUCUUCUCCAGAGGAUCUUUCCAACCCAGGGAUCGAACUUGGGUCUCCUGCAUUGCAUCUUCUGAAGUGCUAGAAGAGAAAGAAACAGAGAAGCCCAGGGGAAGGCACACUGAGCAAGCUGAACUCUCGGCUUUAUUAACAGGGUGGUUAUGGGUGGAGUGAAAGCGUAAGACCUUGGGUUCUUUCCUUUGAGCAUGUUUUCCUCUGAUUAGCUCAGGAGCCUGGAUCCCAGGGCUCCGAGACUGUUGUCUGAUGAGGGCAGGUACAUUUCCCAGCCUUUGGAAUGCCACCUUAGUGGAAGGACCCUGAGAUCUGUGCUGAGCUCUCUCUGUGGAGGCCUGAAGCUUGCAGGCUUGGCCUUACAGUUGAUUAGCUCCCUCUUUGCUGGGGCGGGUGGGACCAGACAAAGAGGCCAACUAGAGGAGAGUGCUCUAACCCAAUUUGCUGUGCAGAGAAGCCAGUCUGUCUGGCAAAAAAUAAUUGGAAAGCUGCUUCCUCUAAGCCUGGACCCAGGAGAGCACUAGGCCUUGCUGGGCGGGGGCCCUUUGGCUAGGCCCACAUCACUUAGUGCUUUGUGGGGGCUGCUCCCAGCGGGAGAGCACUUAGCCCUGGUAAUUGGUCAGGCGGGCUCAUCAUUAAUUCAUGCCAAAUUGUAUUUCUCUUUUUAAGAGCGAGACAGAGAAAAGUGGGGGUAGGUGGGAAUAAAUGAGUUUUCAAAGGGAGGAUUCUGUCUCAGGGCUUGGUCGAAGGAGCUUCAACUUGGGAGGAGGGAGAUCAGGGAUUCAUUUGCUAACUUGCCAUUGAUCCGAACAAGUUAUCUUCCCAUAGGAGGUCUUGCUUUCCUAAUCUGUGUUAGGAAACAAUAACCAUGCUCAGAAAUGUCUUUGAGGAUUGAAUCCAGAUGUGAGAGAGGCAUGCUCAUCACAUGGUCAUUUCAACAGACCCAGGGAGGCAGGGAGUCAUCUACAUUUCAUGCCAUUAUUGAUGCAAAGUGGGGUAGAUUUACAUCUGUCAUCUUUGGGAUGGACAGUAUUUUUUAAUGACUCCAUUUUAUCUCUUUUAUUGGUGUAUUGACUCUUUGCGGUGCUGCUUUAGUGGUUUUUUAGGGUUUAUAGUAAACAUUACCAUCAGCAUGUNNNNNNNNNNNNNNNNNNNNNNNNNNNNNAGAGUUAUAGGGCCCUUUCAAUAGUGUACUUCUGUUUCUCCCCAUCCGACAUUUAUGUGAACUGGGUCAAACAUUGCACGUGUAAAUUCCACAAUAUAUUGCUAUUAUUUUUGUUUAAACAGUCACUUAUCUUAAAAAUUUUCUAUUGUGGUAAGAUACAUACAACAUAAAGCUAACCAUCUAACCAUUUUAAAUGUACAGUUCAGUGUUAUUAAAUACAUUCAUAAUGUUGCACAACCAUCAGUACUAUCCAUCUCCAUAGCUCUUUUCAUUUUGCAAAACUGAAAUUCUAUACUUACUAAAGUC